Molecule: ribosomal RNA, 504 nt
Filed under: uncultured Sphingobacteriales bacterium
Lineage: Bacteria; Pseudomonadati; Bacteroidota; Sphingobacteriia; Sphingobacteriales
Description: bacterial SSU rRNA
Rfam family: Bacterial small subunit ribosomal RNA
Source: RNAcentral
CGCCUUGCCAGCCCGCUCAGAAACUCAAAUGAAUUGACGGGGCCCGCACAAGCGGAGGAGCAUGUGGUUUAAUUCGAUGAUACGCGAGGAACCUUACCUGGGCUCGAACGUAAGAUGACUGUAGGUGAAAGCUUACAUCUCUUCGGAGCAUUUUACGAGGUGCUGCAUGGUUGUCGUCAGCUCGUGCCGUGAGGUGUCGGGUUAAGUCCCAUAACGAGCGCAACCCCUACCUUUAGUUGCCAUCAGGUUAAGCUGGGGACUCUAAAGGAACUGCCUACGCAAGUAGUGAGGAAGGCGGGGAUGACGUCAAAUCAGCACGGCCCUUACGUCCAGGGCUACACACGUGCUACAAUGGCCGAUACAGCGGGCAGCGAAGGAGCGAUCCGGAGCGAAUCCUAAAAAGCCGGUCCCAGUUCGGAUUGCAGGCUGAAACUCGCCUACAUGAAGUUGGAGUUGCUAGUAAUCGCGAAUCAGAAUGUCGCGGUGAAUGCGUUCCCGGGUCUU